CAGUCGCCACGGUAAUACAGAGGGUGCAAGCGUUAAUCGGAAUUACUGUGCGUAAAGCGCGCGUAGGUGGUUUGUUAAGUUGGAUGUGAAAUCCCCGGGCUCAACCUGGGAACUGCAUCCAAAACUGGCAAGCUAGAGUAUGGUAGAGGGUGGUGGAAUUUCCUGUGUAGCGGUGAAAUGCGUAGAUAUAGGAAGGAACACCAGUGGCGAAGGCGACCACCUGGACUGAUACUGACACUGAGGUGCGAAAGCGUGGGGAGCAAACAGGAUUAGAUACCCCUGUAGUCCCUGUCUCUUAUAC
This 301-nucleotide ribosomal RNA is filed under the name uncultured bacterium. Its description in RNAcentral is "partial 16S ribosomal RNA". It matches the Rfam family "Bacterial small subunit ribosomal RNA", at positions 509 to 807 of the family's 1533-position model. The record is from RNAcentral.